Molecule: ribosomal RNA, 1361 nt
Filed under: Patescibacteria group bacterium
Lineage: Bacteria
Description: bacterial SSU rRNA
Rfam family: Bacterial small subunit ribosomal RNA
Source: RNAcentral
AAUUAAGAGUUUGAUUCUAGCUCAGGAUGAACGCUGGCGGCGUGGGUAAGGCAUGCAAGUCAAACGGCCCGCAAGGGCAGUGGCGAACGAGGUAGUACAAAGUAGGUAACGACCCUGGAAGUCAGGAAUAACUAGUCGAAAGAUUAGCUAAUACUUGAUGGUCUCGCGAGAGUAAAGAUUUAUCGCUUCCAGAUCGGCCUGCUCGAUAUCAGCUAGUUGGUAGGGUAAUGGCCUACCAAGGCAAUGACGUCUAGGGGAGCUGAGAGGCUGACCCCCACCGAUGGUACUGAGAUACGGACCAUACACCUACGGGUGGCCGCAGUCGAGAAUCUUCCGCAAUGGACGCAAGUCUGACGGAGCGACGCCGCGUGAUCGAUGAAGUUCUUCGGAACGUAAAGAUCUUUUAUGAGGGAGAAAGUUUAUUGAUAGUACCUCAAGAAUAAGGGGUUGCUAAACUCGUGCCAGCAGCAGCGGUAAUACGAGUGCCCCGAGCGUUAUCCGGAAUUAUUGGGCGUAAAGGGUGUGUAGGUGGUUUUGUUAGUCUCUUGUUAAACCUCCCGGCUCAACCGGGAAGAUGCAAGGGAAACGGCAAAACUAGAGGAUGCGAGGGGUCUGUGGAACUCAUGGUGUAGCGGUGAAAUGCGUUGAUAUCAUGGGGAACACCAAAAGCGAAGGCAGCAGACUGGAGCACUCCUGACACUGAAACACGAAAGCGUGGGUAGCGAAUGGGAUUAGAUACCCCAGUAGUCCACGCCCUAAACGAUCUUCUCUGGUUUUUCGGAGUAUCGACCCUCUGAGAGACGAAGCUAACGCGUUAAGAGAAGCGCCUGGGUAGUACGACCGCAAGGUUAAAACUCAAAGAAAUAGACGGGGACUUGCACAAGCGGUGGAUCAUGUGGUUUAAUUCGACGAUAAACGAAGAACCUUACCAAGAUUUGAAACCUAGUUGAAGACAAGAGGAAACUUUUGUCGCCGCAAGGCAAUUAGGCAGGUGAUGCAUGGCCGUCGUCAGUUCGUGGUUUGAAUUGUUCCCUUAAGUGGGGUAACGAACGCAACCCUCGUUGCCUGUUAUAUAUGUCAGGCGAGACUGCCCUCGAUUUUGUUUAUGAGCUCUGCUCGUAAGUAAAAUCGAGGGAGGAAGGCGAGGAUGACGCCAGGUCAGCAUGUCCCUCUGAUAUCUUGGGCUACACACGUGAUACAAUGCCCGGUACAACAGGUUGCAAUACCGCAAGGUGGAGCCAAUCCUUAUAAGCCGGGCCCAGUUCGGAUUGAAGUCUGCAACUCGACUUCAUGAAGCCGGAAUCGCUAGUAAUCGCAGGUCAGCUAUACUGCGGUGAAUACGUUCUCAAGUCUUGUACUCA